This 1399-nucleotide ribosomal RNA is filed under the name uncultured bacterium. RNAcentral's name for it is "bacterial SSU rRNA". It matches the Rfam family "Bacterial small subunit ribosomal RNA". The record is from RNAcentral.
AGAGUUUGAUCCUGGCUCAGGAUGAACGCUGGCGGCGUGCCUAACACAUGCAAGUCGAACGAAGCAUGCAGGAAGAAGCCCUUCGGGGCGGGCGCCUGGAUGACUGAGUGGCGGACGGGUGAGUAACGCGUGGGCAACCUGCCCCAUACAGGGGGAUAACAGCCGGAAACGGCUGCUAAUACCGCAUAAACCAGGGAGGCGCAUGCCUUUGUGGGGAAAGCUCCGGCGGUAUGGGAGGGGCCCGCGUCUGAUUAGCUUGUUGGCGGGGCAGCGGCCCACCAAGGCGACGAUUAGUAGCCGGCCUUGUGAGGGCGGACGGCCACUUUGGGACUGAAGACCCGCCCCAAACUCCUACGGGAGGCAGCGGUGGGGGAUAUUGCACAAUGGGGGAAACUCCUAAUGCAGCGACGCCGCGUGGGGGGAAGAAGUAUUUCGGUAGAUAAAGCCCUAUCAGCAGGGAAGAAGAAAUGACGGUACCUGAGUAAGAAGCACCGGCUAAAUACGUGCCAGCAGCCGCGGUAAUACGUAUGGUGCAAGCGUUAUCCGGAUUUACUGGGUGUAAAGGGAGCGCAGGCGGCACGGCAAGCCUGAUGUGAAAGCCCGCGGCCCAACCGCGGGACUGCAUUGGGAACUACCGGGCUGGAGUGCCGGAGAGGUAGGCGGAAUUCCUAGUGUAGCGGUGAAAUGCGUAGAUAUUAGGAGGAACACCAGUGGCGAAGGCGGCCUACUGGACGGUGACUGACGCUGAGGCUCGAAAGCGUGGGGAGCAAACAGGAUUAGAUCCCCUGGUAGUCCACGCCGUAAACGAUUAAAUACUAGGUGUCGGGGGCCAGGGGCCCUCGGUGGCGGCGGCAAACGCAGUAAGUAUUCCACCUGGGGAGUACGUUCGCAAGAAUGAAACUCAAAGGAAUGGACGGGGACCCGCACAAGCGGUGGAGCAUGUGGUUUAAUUCGAAGCAACGCGAAGAACCUUACCAGGCCUUGACAUCCUCCUGACACGGCAUGUAAUGUGCCAUUCCUUCGGGACAGGGGAGACAGGUGGUGCAUGGUUGUCGUCAGCUCGUGUCGUGAGAUGUUGGGUUAAGUCCCGCAACGAGCGCAACCCCUGCCCUUAGUAGCCAGCGCGUAAAGGCGGGCACUCUAGGGGGACUGCCGGGGAGGACCCGGAGGAAGGCGGGGAUGACGUCAAAUCAUCAUGCCCCUUAUGGCCUGGGCUACACACGUGCUACAAUGGCGUAACAGAGGGAGGCGAAGCCGCGAGGCGGAGCGAACCCCAAAAAUAACGUCCCAGUUCGGACUGCAGCCUGCAACCCGGCUGCACGAAGCUGGAAUCGCUAGUAAUCGCGGAUCAGAAUGCCGCGGUGAAUACGUUCCCGGGUCUUGUACACACCGCCCGUCA